Molecule: ribosomal RNA, 461 nt
Filed under: uncultured Mollicutes bacterium
Lineage: Bacteria; Bacillati; Mycoplasmatota; Mollicutes
Description: bacterial SSU rRNA
Rfam family: Bacterial small subunit ribosomal RNA
Source: RNAcentral
AACCCGCACAAGCGGUGGAGUAUGUUGUUUAAUUCGAAGAUACACGAAGAACCUUACCAGGUCUUGACAUACCAUUGACAGGUGUAGAGAUACACUCUCCUUCGGGCAAUGGAUACAGGUGGUGCAUGGUUGUCGUCAGCUCGUGCCGUGAGGUGUUGGGUUAAGUCCCGCAACGAGCGCAACCCUCAUUGUUAGUUACUACCAUUCAGUUGAGGACUCUAAUGAGACUGCCAACGACAAGUUGGAGGAAGGUGGGGAUGACGUCAAAUCAUCAUGCCCUUUAUGACCUGGGCUACAAACGUACUACAAUGGCCAAUACAAAGAGAUGCGAAGCGGUGACGUGAAGCGAACCUCAGAAAGUUGGUCUCAGUUCAGAUUGAAGUCUGCAACUCGACUUCAUGAAGGCGGAAUCGCUAGUAAUCGCGGGUCAGCAGACCGCGGUGAAUACGUUCCCGGGUUUU